CCUACGGGAGGCUGCAGUGAGGAAUAUUGGUCAAUGGACGAGAGUCUGAACCAGCCAAGUAGCGUGAAGGAUGACUGCCCUAUGGGUUGUAAACUUCUUUUAUAUGGGAAUAAAAUGUUCCACGUGUGGGAUUUUGUAUGUACCAUAUGAAUAAGGAUCGGCUAACUCCGUGCCAGCAGCCGCGGUAAUACGGAGGAUCCGAGCGUUAUCCGGAUUUAUUGGGUUUAAAGGGAGCGUAGGUGGAUUGUUAAGUCAGUUGUGAAAGUUUGCGGCUCAACCGUAAAAUUGCAGUUGAAACUGGCAGUCUUGAGUACAGUAGAGGUGGGCGGAAUUCGUGGUGUAGCGGUGAAAUGCUUAGAUAUCGCGAAGAACUCCGAUUGCGAAGGCAGUUCACUGGACUGCAACUGACACUGAGGCUCGAAAGUGUGGGUAUCAAACAGGAUUAGAUACCCGUGUAGUC
RNAcentral lists this ribosomal RNA (460 nucleotides) under uncultured bacterium. RNAcentral's name for it is "partial 16S ribosomal RNA". It matches the Rfam family "Bacterial small subunit ribosomal RNA", at positions 338 to 795 of the family's 1533-position model. The record is from RNAcentral.